RNAcentral lists this long non-coding RNA (559 nucleotides) under Olea europaea subsp. europaea. Lineage: Eukaryota; Viridiplantae; Streptophyta; Magnoliopsida; Lamiales; Oleaceae. The record is from RNAcentral.
GCUGUAGAAAAUUUUAAUUUGGUACCCAUCUUAUGCCACAAAGUCCUCCAAAAAUGGCUAGUGAAGCGAACGUCCCUAUCGGACACGAUGGUCUUGGGAAGUCCAUAUAGUUUGACAAUCUCAUUAAAGAAUAACAUGGCAACCUUGGACGCAUUCGAUGUUUUGCUACAGGGGAUAAAGUGAGCCAUUUUCGAGAAACGAUCGACAACCACGAAAAUAGAAUCAUGCUUCUUUGGGGUGCGUGGCAGUCCUAGCACAAAAUCCAUACUAACGUCUUGCCAAGGACAAUUGGGGACGGGGAGAGGAGUGUAUAGGCCUGUGUUCUGCUUCUUCUGUUUGGCCAAUUGACAAGUAUUACAUGUACUAACAAUUUUAGCCACAUCUCUCUUUAAACUAGGCCAAUAGAAUUGGCGUUCAACCUCCUCAAUGGUCUUUUCACGCCCAAAGUGACCGGCUAACCCUCCCGCGUGAACUUCCCACACUAUAAAAUCUCGCACUGAAAUUCGAGGGAUGCACAAUUUAUUGGCUCGAAAGAGAUAACCCUUCUCAAGUCGAAAGC